CAGGCCCCAGAACCGGGGAGCUGUCACCAACAGAGCUGGCUUCCCGGGCCCAGCUCGCUGUUAGCCGGGAGAGCUCCUGAUCGCAGGCACACCCGGCUGGCCUGUGACCCUUUCUGCGCUGGCCUCCUGCCUCCUCCUGGCUGUGGGAACCCAGGCGACUUCUUACCUUCUCUGAGUGGCGGUUUCCUGCCCGUGGAAACACCUGAGCCAAGGAAGGAUAGCAUCCAGUUUGGACAGCGUAGGACCUGGCCGGCUUUGGACAGGGAAGAAGGCUUCCUUAGCGAAUUUCCAGGAACCUCCCGUUGGCCACACUCACGGCGGAGCCAGAGGGUCAGGGAGUGUGACGGGAUCCACAGAAGUCAGCCGUGUGUUCAGACAAAAGACUGAAACUUGCGCCAAGUAUCUGAAGCACGGACAGGCGGACUCAACUUUGGAACGCGCGCUGCCACCCCUCAGCGCCCCAGCGUAUACGACAUCACUCCUAGGAACUCCCGUGACAAACUGUGAUUUGUCCCAGCUUUUCCCGCCACUGGCUUGCCCGUCUUUUCCGUUUGCUUGUCCGUCCUUCUGCUAACUUAAGACAGAGACGUUUGCGCCACUGCA
This is a long non-coding RNA of Oryctolagus cuniculus (rabbit), 603 nucleotides long. RefSeq lists it as uncharacterized. The record is from RefSeq and is a predicted model, not a curated record. NCBI's taxonomy places the organism in Eukaryota, Metazoa, Chordata, Mammalia, Lagomorpha, Leporidae.